AUUUUGGACAAUGGGGGAAACCCUGAUCCAGCAAUGCCGCGUGUGUGAAGAAGGCCUUUCGGGUUGUAAAGCACUUUUGUCCGGAAAGAAAACCUUUGCACUAAUACUGUGAGGGGAUGACGGUACCGGAAGAAUAAGCACCGGCUAACUACGUGCCAGCAGCCGCGGUAAUACGUAGGGUGCGAGCGUUAAUCGGAAUUACUGGGCGUAAAGCGUGCGCAGGCGGUUCGUUAAGACAGAUGUGAAAUCCCCGGGCUUAACCUGGGAACUGCAUUUGUGACUGGCGAGCUAGAGUAUGGCAGAGGGGGGUAGAAUUCCACGUGUAGCAGUGAAAUGCGUAGAGAUGUGGAGGAAUACCGAUGGCGAAGGCAGCCCCCUGGGCCAAUACUGACGCUCAUGCACGAAAGCGUGGGGAGCAAACAGGAUUAGAUACCCUGGUAGUCCACGCCCUAAACGAUGUCAACUAGUUGUUGGGUCUUCAUUGACUUAGUAACGUAGCUAACGCGUGAAGUUGACCGCCUGGGGAGUACGGUCGCAAGAUUAAAACUCAAAGGAAUUGACGGGGACCCGCACAAGCGGUGGAUGAUGUGGAUUAAUUCGAUGCAACGCGAAAAACCUUACCUACCCUUGACAUGGUCGGAACCUGGCUGAAAGGCUGGGGUGCUCGAAAGAGAACCGAUACACAGGUGCUGCAUGGC
This 698-nucleotide ribosomal RNA is filed under the name Caballeronia sp. Its description in RNAcentral is "bacterial SSU rRNA". It matches the Rfam family "Bacterial small subunit ribosomal RNA", at positions 361 to 1049 of the family's 1533-position model. The record is from RNAcentral. Lineage: Bacteria; Pseudomonadati; Pseudomonadota; Betaproteobacteria; Burkholderiales; Burkholderiaceae.